UAAGGAAUAUUGGACAAUGGAGGCAACUCUGAUCCAGCCAUGCCGCGUGAAGGAAUAAGGCCCUAUGGGUUGUAAACUUCUUUUAGACGGGACAAAACCCCUUUACGUGUAAAGGGUUGAUGGUACUGUAAGAAUAAGCAUCGGCUAACUUAGUGCCAGCAGCCGCGGUAAUACGAGGGAUGCAAGCGUUAUCCGGAAUUAUUGGGAUUAAAGGGUGCGUAGGCGGACUAAUAAGUCAGUGGUGAAAGCCUGCGGCUUAACUGCAGCAUUGCCAUUGAUACUGUUAGUCUUGAGUACAGUUGAGGUAGGCGGAAGGUGUCAUGUAGCGGUGAAAUGCUUAGAUAUGACACAGAACACCGAUUGCGAAGGCAGCUUGCUAAGCUGUAACUGACGCUGAGGCACGAAAGCGUGGGGAGCAAACA
Molecule: ribosomal RNA, 422 nt
Filed under: uncultured bacterium
Lineage: Bacteria
Description: bacterial SSU rRNA
Rfam family: Bacterial small subunit ribosomal RNA
Source: RNAcentral